This 924-nucleotide ribosomal RNA is filed under the name Candidatus Phytoplasma asteris-related phytoplasma. RNAcentral describes it as "bacterial SSU rRNA". It matches the Rfam family "Bacterial small subunit ribosomal RNA", at positions 211 to 1144 of the family's 1533-position model. The record is from RNAcentral. Lineage: Bacteria; Bacillati; Mycoplasmatota; Mollicutes; Acholeplasmatales; Acholeplasmataceae.
AGGUAUGCUUAGGGAGGAGCUUGCGUCACAUUAGUUAGUUGGUGGGGUAAAGGCCUACCAAGACUAUGAUGUGUAGCCGGGCUGAGAGGUUGAACGGCCACAUUGGGACUGAGACACGGCCCAAACUCCUACGGGAGGCAGCAGUAGGGAAUUUUCGGCAAUGGAGGAAACUCUGACCGAGCAACGCCGCGUGAACGAUGAAGUAUUUCGGUACGUAAAGUUCUUUUAUUAGGGAAGAAUAAAUGAUGGAAAAAUCAUUCUGACGGUACCUAAUGAAUAAGCCCCGGCUAACUAUGUGCCAGCAGCCGCGGUAAUACAUAGGGGGCAAGCGUUAUCCGGAAUUAUUGGGCGUAAAGGGUGCGUAGGCGGUUAAAUAAGUUUAUGGUCUAAGUGCAAUGCUCAACAUUGUGAUGCUAUAAAAACUGUUUAGCUAGAGUAAGAUAGAGGCAAGUGGAAUUCCAUGUGUAGUGGUAAAAUGCGUAAAUAUAUGGAGGAACACCAGUAGCGAAGGCGGCUUGCUGGGUCUUUACUGACGCUGAGGCACGAAAGCGUGGGGAGCAAACAGGAUUAGAUACCCUGGUAGUCCACGCCGUAAACGAUGAGUACUAAACGUUGGGUAAAACCAGUGUUGAAGUUAACACAUUAAGUACUCCGCCUGAGUAGUACGUACGCAAGUAUGAAACUUAAAGGAAUUGACGGGACUCCGCACAAGCGGUGGAUCAUGUUGUUUAAUUCGAANGUACCCGAAAAACCUCACCAGGUCUUGACAUGCUUCUGCAAACUGUANAAACACAGUGGAGGUUAUCAGUUGCACAGGUGGUGCAUGGUUGUCGUCAGCUCGUGUCGUGAGAUGUUGGGUUAAGUCCCGNNACGAGCGCAACNCUUAUNGNUAGUUACCAGCACGUAAUGGUGGGGGACUUUNGC